GUCCAACCCCAGCAGGUCCAGGGGUCCCCAAAGGUGUGGACGGAGUCGGCAAAGAAGGAAUGACACUGAGACAGCGUUCAGUUGAUCAGCAGCUUAGCCAGGAUCUCUAGCCAAGUUCUGGUCAGGAUCUCCAGCGAAGUUCUGGUUAGGAUCUCCAGCCAGGUUCUGUGUCCAUGUUCUCUUGCUAGGUUCUCCAGCCAGGUUCUGUUUCUAGGUUCUUCAGUCAGGUUCUCCAGGUUCUCCAGCCAAGUUCUGUUCAGGUUCUGUCCAGGUUCUGUUGCCAUGUUCUCUCU
Myotis daubentonii (Daubenton's bat) is the source of this 293-nucleotide long non-coding RNA. RefSeq lists it as uncharacterized. The record is from RefSeq and is a predicted model, not a curated record. Lineage: Eukaryota; Metazoa; Chordata; Mammalia; Chiroptera; Vespertilionidae.